CAUUCCUUGUUGCCACUUGGGGUGUAUUUAAAAACAGUUUUACUUGGCAUAAAAACACAUCAUCUUAGCUCAACUUGAAUUCCUCAAAUUAGGAACACUUGAUUAACCUCCGAGAAAGAUGGAAAAUCGCUGGGAUUUUGGUCGGAGAAUUGGGUUACUUUGCUUCCUUUUCAGUGUCUUCAUUCUGUUUCAAUGCACCACAGCAGAAAACAGAACAUAUCCGGAAGGCAACGUUAAUCUAAGCCCAUUUCAGGCUUGGAGAAGUGCUCAUUGGUGUAUGCUAAAUUUCAGGAAGAACAAUACUUGCAAGAGUAAUAACAUGUUAACGGAACAAGGAGUGUUGGUGGUAAGUCCGGGUGAAGAGGCGGAGUUCUGUAAGGCCGGUGGGUGCGCAGAUCAGACGAGAGCUGUUCUCUCUUGCAUUCAUCAUGUCAAACGUGGCUAUUUCUUCAUGAACCCCAACGGGAUCACCCUUAACCACAUCUACAGCAUCAUCAAAAAUGCCUGCCCCUCCUCGUCUCCUUAAAAGGCUAGAAGUGUUCUAUUCUAUAAGUAGAGAAGGAGAUGGCAUCUUCCAAUAAAUAAGACCAGCAGAAUCAUCAGCAAAAGAAGUGUGUUUUGUUUUUUGGUGGUUGAGUCUGUUGUAGAAAGUUUUAUUAUUAGUUUUAAGUAAUACUAUACUUUCAUUCCAAGUAUGAGAACAAAAUAAGAUUAUGACAUGAAUUAAUUAUUAAUACAAAUCAAAAGUUGCAGCUUUACCUACAAA
This is a non-coding RNA of Camellia sinensis, 766 nucleotides long. The record is from RefSeq and is a predicted model, not a curated record. Lineage: Eukaryota; Viridiplantae; Streptophyta; Magnoliopsida; Ericales; Theaceae.